UAAAAAUUUAUGAUUUUAAAAAUUUAUUUAUUAUUUAUUUUACAUGUAAAUUUUAGUAUGAAUUUUAUAUUAUUUUAAUAAUAAUAAUAAUAAUAAUUUAUUUUGCAGUAAUUAAUAUUAAAAAUUUAAGAAAUUAAGAUUUAGUAAUAUUAUAAUUAUUAACCAAUUUUGUGCCAGCAGUUGCGGUUAUACAAAAAUUAAAAUAAAUUUUUUUAGUUAUAAUAAAUAUAAUAAUUUUUAAAUUAAAUGUUAAAUUAUUAAGUGAAAUUUUAAUUUAAUGAAAUUUUAUUUAAAAAAUAUGAUUUAAUAAAUUUAUUAAAAAACUAGGAUUAGAUACCCUAUUAUUAAGAAUUUAAAUUAAAAUACUAAAAUAGUAAAUAAAUAUUAUUGAAACUUAAAUAAUUUGGCGGUAUUUUAGUUCAUUUAGAGGAAUCUGUUUAUUAAUUGAUAAUCCACGAAUAAAUUUACUUAAUUUAUUAUUUUGUAUAUCGUUGUUAAAAAAAUAUUUUUAAAUAAAAAUAAUAUUUAAAAAUUAAAAAUAAAAAUUAGUUCAGAUCAAGAUGCAGAUAAUAAUUAAGAAUUUAAUGGAUUACAAUAAAUAUAUUUAAAUGAAUUUUUUUUUGAAAAAAUUAAAUGAAAGUGGAUUUAAAUGUAAUUUUAUUUAAUUUAAUAAAAUGAUUUAAAAUUAAAAUAUGUACAUAUUGCCCGUCACUUUCAUUUUAAAAUUGGAAUAAGUCGUAACAAAGUAGAGGUACUGGAAAGUGUUUCUAGAAAGAC
This 777-nucleotide non-coding RNA is filed under the name Megathymus streckeri streckeri. Lineage: Eukaryota; Metazoa; Arthropoda; Insecta; Lepidoptera; Hesperiidae. The record is from RNAcentral.